GAUGAACGCUAGCUACAGGCUUAACACAUGCAAGUCGAGGGGAAACGAUAGAGAAAGCUUGCUUUUUCUAGGCGUCGACCGGCGCACGGGUGAGUAACGCGUAUCCAACCUGCCCAUCACUUGGGGAUAACCUUGCGAAAGUAAGACUAAUACCCAAUGACGUCUCUAGAAAACAUCUGAAAGGGAUUAAAGAUUUAUCGGUGAUGGAUGGGGAUGCGUCUGAUUAGCUUGUUGGCGGGGUAACGGCCCACCAAGGCGACGAUCAGUAGGGGCUCUGAGAGGAAGGUCCCCCACAUUGGAACUGAGACACGGUCCAAACUCCUACGGGAGGCAGCAGUGAGGAAUAUUGGUCAAUGGACGAGAGUCUGAACCAGCCAAGUAGCGUGCAGGAUGACGGCCCUAUGGGUUGUAAACUGCUUUUAUAAGGGAAUAAAGUGAGAGUCGUGACUCUUUUUGCAUGUACCUUAUGAAUAAGGACCGGCUAAUUCCGUGCCAGCAGCCGCGGUAA
RNAcentral lists this ribosomal RNA (508 nucleotides) under uncultured bacterium. Its description in RNAcentral is "partial 16S ribosomal RNA". It matches the Rfam family "Bacterial small subunit ribosomal RNA", at positions 28 to 523 of the family's 1533-position model. The record is from RNAcentral.